This 253-nucleotide ribosomal RNA is filed under the name uncultured bacterium. Its description in RNAcentral is "partial 16S ribosomal RNA". It matches the Rfam family "Bacterial small subunit ribosomal RNA", at positions 524 to 776 of the family's 1533-position model. The record is from RNAcentral.
UACAGAGGUCUCAAGCGUUGUUCGGAGUCACUGGGCGUAAAGGGUGCGUAGGCUGCGAGGAAAGUCAGAUGUGAAAUCCGGAGGCUCAACCUUCGAAUAGCAUCCGAUACUACCUUGCUAGAGAGCUGUAGGGGGGUUUGGAAUUCUCGGUGUAGCAGUGAAAUGCGUAGAUAUCGAGAAGAACGCUCGUGGCGAAGGCGAAACCCUGGGCAGUAUCUGACGCUGAGGCACGAAGGCUAGGGGAGCAAACGGG